This 72-nucleotide transfer RNA is filed under the name Ixodes scapularis (black-legged tick). It matches the Rfam family "tRNA". Rfam says of the family: Transfer RNA (tRNA) molecules are approximately 80 nucleotides in length. Their secondary structure includes four short double-helical elements and three loops (D, anti-codon, and T loops). Lineage: Eukaryota; Metazoa; Arthropoda; Arachnida; Ixodida; Ixodidae. The record is from Rfam by way of RNAcentral.
CCCUUGUUGCUCAGUUGGUAGAGCGCUCCACUUGUAAUGGAGAGGUCCCGGGUUCGAUACCCGGACCAGGCG